AAGCAGCCACCAUUUAAACAUAGCGUAACAGCUGACUCAUCGAGCGAUUCUGCGCCGAAAAUGAUUGGCGAUUAAAUCCAGUACCGAAGCCGCGGAUGCGUGCUACAUUCGUGUAGCAUGCGUGGUAGGAGAGCGUCGUCUAUGCGCCGAAGCUGAACUGUAAGGGACAGUGGAGCGUAGACGAGUGAGGAUGCAGACAUGAGUAGCGAUAAAACAGGUGAGAAUCCUGUUCGCCGUAAACCCAAGGUUUCCCAUAGCCACGUUCGUCGGCUUGGGGUUAGUCGGGUCCUAAGGUGAGGCCGUAAGGCGUAAUCGAUGGAUAUAAGGUUAAUAAUCCUGACCGGCAGGCAAUUAGUGUAUGAGUGCGCGGAAAUGAAAAAUGUAUACAUUACGCAAUGGAAAAGGCUUAGUCCACGUGGCGAAGCCAGCAUUGGAAGUUUCUGCCUAGAAAAGCUCAUGCACACUCUAUGCCUGUCGCCCGUACCGUAAACCGCCACAGGUAGGAGGGUGUAAAUGUACCAAGGCGCGCGAGAGAAACCUCUUUAAGGAACUCUGCAAUCUAGCCCCGUAACUUCGGAAGAAGGGGUGCCAUCUUCGGAUGGCCACAGUAAAGGGUGACUGGCGACUGUUUACCAAAAACACAGCUCUCUGCUAAGAUGUUAAGUCUACGUAUAGGGAGUGACACGUGACCAAUGCCGAAAGAUCAAGGAUGUUCUGUUUACGCAGGGCACCUAAGUCCCGGUGAAUGUCGGCCGUAACUAUAACGGUCCUAAGGUAGCGAAAUUCCUUGUCGGGUAAGUUCCGACCUGCACGAAUCGUGUAACGACCGGUCAGCUGUCUCUAAGAGAAUCUCGGCGAAGUUGUAAUGGCGGUGCAGAUGCCGCCAACCCGCGGUAGGACGGAAAGACCCUAUGCACCUUUACUGUAAGCUGGUAUUGGGUUCUGGACUAUGAUGUGUAGUAAUAGGUGGGAGACAUUGAAGUGAGCUCGUCAGGGUUCAUGGAGUCAAAAAGUGAAAAACCACCCUUUAUUUUCUAGGAUUCUAACCUCGAUUCCUGUUAGCCAGGCGAGGGACAGUGCUUGCGGGUCAGUUUGACUGGGGCGGUUUCCUCCCAAAAAGUAACGGAGGAGCGCGAAGGUACUCUCAGUAUGGUUAGUAACCAUACGUUGAGCGUAUAGGUAGAAGAGUGCUUAACUGUGAGACCGACAGGUCGAGCAGGUACGAAAGUAGGCCUAAGUGAUCCGGCAGUAGAAAAUGGAAUUGCUGUCGCUCAUCGGACAAAAGGUACGCUAGGGAUAACAGGCUUAUCGCGCCCAAGAGUUCAUAUCGACGGCGCGGUUUGGCACCUCGAUGUCGGCUCGUCACAUCCUGGGGCUGGAGAAGGUCCCAAGGGUUCGGCUGUUCGCCGAUUAAAGUGGCACGCGAGCUGGGUUCAGAACGUCGUGAGACAGUUCGGUCCUUAUCCACCGUGGGCGUAGGAAACUUGAGGGGUUCACUUCCUAGUACGAGAGGACCGGAAUUGACGCACCUCUGGUGUGGCAGUUGUCGUAGACACGGCAGCGCUGCGUAGCUAAGUGCGGAAGAGAUAAGCGCUGAAAGCAUCUAAGCGCCAAGCUCAUCCCAAGACAAGGUUUCCCCAUCAGGCUCCUGGAAGACUACCAGGUUGAUAGGCCAGAGGUGUAAGCGCAGUAAUGUGUUUAGCUGACUGGUACUAAUGUCCGAUUGGCUUAUCUUA
Molecule: ribosomal RNA, 1736 nt
Filed under: marine metagenome
Description: bacterial LSU rRNA
Rfam family: Bacterial large subunit ribosomal RNA
Source: RNAcentral